AUUGAACGCUGGCGGCAUGCCUUACACAUGCAAGUCGAACGGUAACAGGGAGCUUGCUCCGCUGACGAGUGGCGAACGGGUGAGUAAUGUAUCGGAACGUACCUUUUAGUGGGGAUAACGUAGCGAAAGUUACGCUAAUACCGCAUAUUCUCUGAGGAGGAAAGCAGGGGACCUUCGGGCCUUGCGCUAAUAGAGCGGCUGAUAUCAGAUUAGCUAGUUGGUGAGGUAAAGGCUCACCAAGGCGACGAUCUGUAGCGGGUCUGAGAGGAUGAUCCGCCACACUGGAACUGAGACACGGUCCAGACUCCUACGGGAGGCAGCAGUGGGGAAUUUUGGACAAUGGGGGCAACCCUGAUCCAGCCAUGCCGCGUGAGUGAAGAAGGCCUUCGGGUUGUAAAGCUCUUUCGGCCGGGAAAAAAUCGCAUGGGCUAAUACCCUGUGUGGAUGAUGGUACCGGAAUAAGAAGCACCGGCUAACUACGUGCCAGCCGCCGCCGUAA
This 499-nucleotide ribosomal RNA is filed under the name uncultured bacterium. Its description in RNAcentral is "partial 16S ribosomal RNA". It matches the Rfam family "Bacterial small subunit ribosomal RNA", at positions 30 to 523 of the family's 1533-position model. The record is from RNAcentral.